Molecule: ribosomal RNA, 327 nt
Filed under: uncultured eukaryote
Lineage: Eukaryota
Description: partial 18S ribosomal RNA
Rfam family: Eukaryotic small subunit ribosomal RNA
Source: RNAcentral
CCCCUAGAUGUUCUGGGCCGCACACGCGCUACACUGAAGGAGGCAGCGUGUACUCCUGGAUCGAAAGAUUUGGGUAACCCGCGAAUCUCCUUCGUGCUAGGGAUUGAGGUUUGCAAUUAUCCUUCAUGAACGAGGAAUUCCCAGUAAGUGCAAGUCAUAAGCUUGCGCUGACUACGUCCCUGCCCUUUGUACACACCGCCCGUCGCUACUACCGAUUGAAUGAUUUAGUGAGGACUUCGGACUGGGACCGAUGCGGCUUUCGGGCUGCGUCGGUAUUCUGGAAAGAUGUCCAAACUGUAUCAUUUAGAGGAAGUAAAAGUCGUAACA